RNAcentral lists this ribosomal RNA (383 nucleotides) under uncultured bacterium. Its description in RNAcentral is "bacterial SSU rRNA". It matches the Rfam family "Bacterial small subunit ribosomal RNA", at positions 30 to 416 of the family's 1533-position model. The record is from RNAcentral.
AUUGAACGCUGGCGGAAUGCUUUACACAUGCAAGUCGAACGGCAGCACGGGGCAACCUGGUGGCGAGUGGCGAACGGGUGAGUAAUACAUCGGAACGUGCCCAAUCGUGGGGGAUAACGUAGCGAAAGUUACGCUAAUACCGCAUACGAUCUACGGAUGAAAGCGGGGGAUCGCAAGACCUCGCGCGAAUGGAGCGGCCGAUGUCAGAUUAGGUAGUUGGUGGGGUAAAGGCUCACCAAGCCAACGAUCUGUAGCUGGUCUGAGAGGACGACCAGCCACACUGGAACUGAGACACGGUCCAGACUCCUACGGGAGGCAGCAGUGGGAAUUUUGGACAAUGGGCGCAAGCCUGAUCCAGCCAUGCCGCGUGAGUGAAGAAGGCC